This 253-nucleotide ribosomal RNA is filed under the name uncultured bacterium. RNAcentral's name for it is "partial 16S ribosomal RNA". It matches the Rfam family "Bacterial small subunit ribosomal RNA", at positions 524 to 776 of the family's 1533-position model. The record is from RNAcentral.
UACGUAGGCAGCAAGCGUUGUUCGGAAUUACUGGGCGUAAAGAGUGUGUAGGCGGUGCUCUAAGUCUGUCGUGAAAUCUCCCGGCUUAACUGGGAGGGUGCGGCGGAAACUGGAAUGCUAGAGGGUGGGAGAGGAAAGCGGAAUUCCUGGUGUAGCGGUGAAAUGCGUAGAUAUCAGGAGGAACACCUGCGGUGUAGACAGCUUUCUGGACCACUCCUGACGCUGAGACACGAAAGCGUGGGGAGCAAACGGG